AAUAUUGGACAAUGGGGGCAACCCUGAUCCAGCCAUGCCGCGUGUGUGAAGAAGGUCUUCGGAUUGUAAAGCACUUUAUGUUGGGAGGAAGGGCUUUAGGUUAAUACCCUGUAGUUUUGAGGUUACCAACAGAAUAACCAACGGCUACAUCUGUGCCAGCAGCCGCGGGAAUACAGUGGGUGCAAGCGUUCAUCGGAAUUACUGGGCGUAAAGCGCGCGUAGGUGGUUCAGUAAGAUGGAUGUGAAAUCCCCGGGCUUAACCUGGGAACUGCUUUCAUAACUGCUGAGCUAGAGUACGGUAGAGGGUAGUGGAAUUUCCUGUGUAGCGGUGAAAUGCGUAGAUAUAGGAAGGAACACCAGUGGCGAAGGCGACUACCUGGACUGAUACUGACACUGAGGUGCGAAAGCGUGGGGAGCAAACA
RNAcentral lists this ribosomal RNA (422 nucleotides) under uncultured bacterium. RNAcentral's name for it is "partial 16S ribosomal RNA". It matches the Rfam family "Bacterial small subunit ribosomal RNA", at positions 360 to 774 of the family's 1533-position model. The record is from RNAcentral.